AGGCUUAACACAUGCAAGUCGAGGGGAAACGAUAUUGGAAGCUUGCUUCCGAUAGGCGUCGACCGGCGCACGGGUGAGUAACGCGUAUCCAACCUGCCCACCACUUGGGGAUAACCUUGCGAAAGUAAGACUAAUACCCAAUGACGUCUCUAGAAGACAUCUGAAAGAGAUUAAAGAUUUAUCGGUGAUGGAUGGGGAUGCGUCUGAUUAGCUUGUUGGCGGGGUAACGGCCCACCAAGGCGACGAUCAGUAGGGGUUCUGAGAGGAAGGUCCCCCACAUUGGAACUGAGACACGGUCCAAACUCCUACGGGAGGCAGCAGUGAGGAAUAUUGGUCAAUGGACGAGAGUCUGAACCAGCCAAGUAGCGUGCAGGAAGACGGCCCUAUGGGUUGUAAACUGCUUUUAUAAGGGAAUAAAGUUAGUCUCGUGAGACUUUUUGCAUGUACCUUAUGAAUAAGGACCGGCUAAUUCCGUGCCAGCAGCCGUGGUAAUACGGAAGGUCCGGGCGUUAUCCGGAUUUAUUGGGUUUAAAGGGAGCGUAGGCCGGAGAUUAAGCGUGUUGUGAAAUGUAGAUGCUCAACAUCUGAACUGCAGCGCGAACUGGUUUCCUUGAGUACGCACAAAGUGGGCGGAAUUCGUGGUGUAGCGGUGAAAUGCUUAGAUAUCACGAAGAACUCCGAUUGCGAAGGCAGCUCACCGGAGCGCAACUGACGCUGAAGCUCGAAAGUGCGGGUAUCGAACAGGAUUAGAUACCCUGGUAGUCCGCACGGUAAACGAUGGAUGCCCGCUGUUGGUCUGAAUAGGUCAGCGGCCAAGCGAAAGCAUUAAGCAUCCCACCUGGGGAGUACGCCGGCAACGGUGCAACUCAAAUGAAUUGACGGA
This 883-nucleotide ribosomal RNA is filed under the name uncultured Bacteroidota bacterium. RNAcentral describes it as "bacterial SSU rRNA". It matches the Rfam family "Bacterial small subunit ribosomal RNA", at positions 44 to 917 of the family's 1533-position model. Lineage: Bacteria; Pseudomonadati; Bacteroidota. The record is from RNAcentral.